Molecule: ribosomal RNA, 1374 nt
Filed under: uncultured bacterium
Lineage: Bacteria
Description: bacterial SSU rRNA
Rfam family: Bacterial small subunit ribosomal RNA
Source: RNAcentral
AUUGAACGCUGGCGGCAGGCCUAACACAUGCAAGUCGAGCGGAAACGAGUUAUCUGAACCUUCGGGGGACGAUAACGGCGUCGAGCGGCGGACGGGUGAGUAAUGCCUAGGAAAUUGCCCUGAUGUGGGGGAUAACCAUUGGAAACGAUGGCUAAUACCGCAUGAUGCCUACGGGCCAAAGAGGGGGACCUUCGGGCCUCUCGCGUCAGGAUAUGCCUAGGUGGGAUUAGCUAGUUGGUGAGGUAAGGGCUCACCAAGGCGACGAUCCCUAGCUGGUCUGAGAGGAUGAUCAGCCACACUGGAACUGAGACACGGUCCAGACUCCCACGGGAGGCAGCAGUGGGGAAUAUUGCACAAUGGGCGCAAGCCUGAUGCAGCCAUGCCGCGUGUAUGAAGAAGGCCUUCGGGUUGUAAAGUACUUUCAGUCGUGAGGAAGGUGGUGUAGUUAAUAGCUGCAUUAUUUGACGUUAGCGACAGAAGAAGCACCGGCUAACUCCGUGCCAGCAGCCGCGGUAAUACGGAGGGUGCGAGCGUUAAUCGGAAUUACUGGGCGUAAAGCGCAUGCAGGUGGUUUGUUAAGUCAGAUGUGAAAGCCCGGGGCUCAACCUCGGAAUAGCAUUUGAAACUGGCAGACUAGAGUACUGUAGAGGGGGGUAGAAUUUCAGGUGUAGCGGUGAAAUGCGUAGAGAUCUGAAGGAAUACCGGUGGCGAAGGCGGCCCCCUGGACAGAUACUGACACUCAGAUGCGAAAGCGUGGGGAGCAAACAGGAUUAGAUACCCUGGUAGUCCACGCCGUAAACGAUGUCUACUUGGAGGUUGUGGCCUUGAGCCGUGGCUUUCGGAGCUAACGCGUUAAGUAGACCGCCUGGGGAGUACGGUCGCAAGAUUAAAACUCAAAUGAAUUGACGGGGGCCCGCACAAGCGGUGGAGCAUGUGGUUUAAUUCGAUGCAACGCGAAGAACCUUACCUACUCUUGACAUCCAGAGAACUUUCCAGAGAUGGAUUGGUGCCUUCGGGAACUCUGAGACAGGUGCUGCAUGGCUGUCGUCAGCUCGUGUUGUGAAAUGUUGGGUUAAGUCCCGCAACGAGCGCAACCCUUAUCCUUGUUUGCCAGCGAGUAAUGUCGGGAACUCCAGGGAGACUGCCGGUGAUAAACCGGAGGAAGGUGGGGACGACGUCAAGUCAUCAUGGCCCUUACGAGUAGGGCUACACACGUGCUACAAUGGCGCAUACAGAGGGCGGCCAACUUGCGAAAGUGAGCGAAUCCCAAAAAGUGCGUCGUAGUCCGGAUUGGAGUCUGCAACUCGACUCCAUGAAGUCGGAAUCGCUAGUAAUCGUGGAUCAGAAUGCCACGGUGAAUACGUUCCCGGGCCU